GCGUUGAAGCGGGAGGUUGCGGAGCAUCUGCUCCGGUUUUUCCGUGGAGUAUGUCCGAUUUGAAACCGGGCGACAA
RNAcentral lists this non-coding RNA (76 nucleotides) under chicken gut metagenome. RNAcentral describes it as "S10-Clostridia ribosomal protein leader". It matches the Rfam family "S10-Clostridia ribosomal protein leader". The record is from RNAcentral.